This 467-nucleotide ribosomal RNA is filed under the name uncultured bacterium. Its description in RNAcentral is "partial 16S ribosomal RNA". It matches the Rfam family "Bacterial small subunit ribosomal RNA", at positions 28 to 506 of the family's 1533-position model. The record is from RNAcentral.
GACGAACGCUGGCGGCGUGCUUAACACAUGCCAGUCGAACGGAAAGGCCCUGCUUUUGUGGGGUGCUCGAGUGGCGAACGGGUGAGUAACACGUGAGUAACCUGCCCUUGACUUUGGGAUAACUUCAGGAAACUGGGGCUAAUACCGGAUAGGAGCUCCAGCUGCAUGGUGGGGGUUGGAAAGUUUCGGCGGUUGGGGAUGGACUCGCGGCUUAUCAGCUUGUUGGUGGGGUAGUGGCUUACCAAGGCUUUGACGGGUAGCCGGCCUGAGAGGGUGACCGGCCACAUUGGGACUGAGAUACGGCCCAGACCCCUACGGGAGGCAGCGGGGGGGAAUUUUGCACAAUGGGCGGAAGCCUGAUGCAGCAACGCCGGGUGGGGGAUGACGGCCUUGGGGUUGUAAACCGCUUUCGCCUGUGACGAAGCGUGAGUGACGGUAAUGGGUAAAGAAGCACCGGAUAACUACGU